This 1462-nucleotide ribosomal RNA is filed under the name uncultured organism. RNAcentral describes it as "SSU rRNA". It matches the Rfam family "Bacterial small subunit ribosomal RNA". The record is from RNAcentral.
GCCUAAUACAUGCAAGUAGAACGCUGAAGAGGGGAGCUUGCUCUUCUUGGAUGAGUUGCGAACGGGUGAGUAACGCGUAGGUAACCUGCCUUGUAGCGGGGGAUAACUAUUGGAAACGAUAGCUAAUACCGCAUAACAAUGGAUGACACAUGUCAUUUAUUUGAAAGGGGCAAUUGCUCCACUACAAGAUGGACCUGCGUUGUAUUAGCUAGUAGGUGAGGUAACGGCUCACCUAGGCGACGAUACAUAGCCGACCUGAGAGGGUGAUCGGCCACACUGGGACUGAGACACGGCCCAGACUCCUACGGGAGGCAGCAGUAGGGAAUCUUCGGCAAUGGGGGCAACCCUGACCGAGCAACGCCGCGUGAGUGAAGAAGGUUUUCGGAUCGUAAAACUCUGUUGUAAGUCAAGAACGAGUGUGAGAGUGGAAAGUUCACACUGUGACGGUAGCUUACCAGAAAGGGACGGCUAACUACGUGCCAGCAGCCGCGGUAAUACGUAGGUCCCGAGCGUUGUCCGGAUUUAUUGGGCGUAGAGCGAGCGCAGGCGGUUUGAUAAGUCUGAAGUUAAAGGCUGUGGCUCAACCAUAGCUCGCUUUGGAAACUGUCAAACUUGAGUGCAGAAGGGGAGAGUGGAAUUCCAUGUGUAGCGGUGAAAUGCGUAGAUAUAUGGAGGAACACCGGUGGCGAAAGCGGCUCUCUGGUCUGUAACUGACGCUGAGGCUCGAAAGCGUGGGGAGCGAACAGGAUUAGAUACCCUGGUAGUCCACGCCGUAAACGAUGAGUGCUAGGUGUUGGAUCCUUUCCGGGAUUCAGUGCCGCAGCUAACGCAUUAAGCACUCCGCCUGGGGAGUACGACCGCAAGGUUGAAACUCAAAGGAAUUGACGGGGGCCCGCACAAGCGGUGGAGCAUGUGGUUUAAUUCGAAGCAACGCGAAGAACCUUACCAGGUCUUGACAUCCCGAUGCUAUUUCUAGAGAUAGAAAGUUACUUCGGUACAUCGGUGACAGGUGGUGCAUGGUUGUCGUCAGCUCGUGUCGUGAGAUGUUGGGUUAAGUCCCGCAACGAGCGCAACCCCUAUUGUUAGUUGCCAUCAUUCAGUUGGGCACUCUAGCGAGACUGCCGGUAAUAAACCGGAGGAAGGUGGGGAUGACGUCAAAUCAUCAUGCCCCUUAUGACCUGGGCUACACACGUGCUACAAUGGUUGGUACAACGAGUUGCGAGUCGGUGACGGCAAGCUAAUCUCUUAAAGCCAAUCUCAGUUCGGAUUGUAGGCUGCAACUCGCCUACAUGAAGUCGGAAUCGCUAGUAAUCGCGGAUCAGCACGCCGCGGUGAAUACGUUCCCGGGCCUUGUACACACCGCCCGUCACACCACGAGAGUUUGUAACACCCGAAGUCGGUGAGGUAACCUUUUGGAGCCAGCCGCCUAAGGUGGGAUAGAUGAUUGGGGUGAAGUCAUAAC